This 433-nucleotide ribosomal RNA is filed under the name uncultured bacterium. RNAcentral describes it as "partial 16S ribosomal RNA". It matches the Rfam family "Bacterial small subunit ribosomal RNA", at positions 29 to 507 of the family's 1533-position model. The record is from RNAcentral.
AACGAACGCUGGCGGCAUGCCUAACACAUGCAAGUCGAACGAGACCUUCGGGUCUAGUGGCGCACGGGUGCGUAACGCGUGGGAACCUGCCCUUAGGUUCGGAAUAACUCCCCGAAAGGGGUGCUAAUACCGGAUAAUGUCUUCGGACCAAAGAUUUAUCGCCUUUGGAUGGGCCCGCGUUGGAUUAGCCAGUUGGUAGGGUAAAAGCCUACCAAGGCGACGAUCCAUAGCUGGUCUGAGAGGAUGAUCAGCCACACUGGGACUGAGACACGGCCCAGAAUCCUACGGGAGGCAGCAGUGGGGAAUAUUGGAAGAUGGGCGAAAGCCUGAUCCAGCAAUGCCGCGUGAGUGAUGAAGGCCUUAGGGUUGUAAAGCUCUUUUACCCGGGAUGAUAAUGACAGUACCGGGAGAAUAAGCUCCGGCUAACUCCGUG